RNAcentral lists this long non-coding RNA (1953 nucleotides) under Homo sapiens (human). RNAcentral describes it as "HSALNT0335284". The record is from RNAcentral. Lineage: Eukaryota; Metazoa; Chordata; Mammalia; Primates; Hominidae.
AUAAAUUCCCAUCUUGGAUAUGUCUUUAUCAGCAACAUGAGAACAGAUGAAUAAAAAUUCUCAGACUGGGAGAAAAAUAUGCUAAAGUGCUUCAUUCCCAGAAUAAUAUUCUUGUUAUUUUGUCAUAUGGGCAGCCUACCUGCUUACCUCCUGUCCACACAUCCUAAUAUGAUGCCAACCAGUUAGUAUGUCCUCACUUACUUGCUGACAUGGAUUCUUUGCUUGGCCAAAUUUUAGUCACGUCUUCUGAACAUUCUUCUAGGCCCAUCUGUGCACUUCCUUGUAAAAUACUGUUUUAACUAAGUCAGUUUAGCAACAAUCCCCAAUCUCAGUGUCUGAUCACCCUUGGUAGCUGAUCAUAUUACUUAUCCUCCCUUAUCCCCCAGGUGAUUUCUGAUCUUUCUGGUCUGUUUUUAGCAAGAUCCUGUUAGGUUGGUUUAGCCAGAAUUCCCCUUACCCCUGAUGUUUCUGCUUAGUAAUUUUCCAUCCUCUGACUACCUCAUCUGCUUCUUGGCUACAGAUUCUCACUUGCCCCUGCUGUAUUCGGAGUUGAGUUCAAUCUCCCUAGCCUAUUGUUAAGACUUAGUUGUAGUCAUUCCUGUAGCUACUGCAAUGAUCCUAAAUGAAGUCUUUUUUACUGUGCUUUAACAAGUAUCAUUGAAUAUUUUUUUUCUUUAACAUUACACAAAAAGGAAAACAGCCUGUUCAUUUCAUGGAAGGACGUUUUGGAAAAAUAGAUCCAGACCUACAUAGAAAGGUAUGACAGCUACCUUAAUUCAUCCAUCAAGACCUUUCUUCUUAAUUGUGAAUUACCAACUAUAGAUCAUCAGAGAAUUUAAGAAAAUCGACAAACUAAAUGCAAAGAAACAAGCUAAUGAAAUAGAACAAAUGACUAAAGGAAACAGAAGUAAUUCAAUGAACAUAAGAAAACUUAAAAAAUAUUCUAAUUACAUUCUCAGAAAGAUUUGAGUGCACACUACAUACAUUAGAAGAGAAAAAUAAAGGAAAAUCAGACUGCUAUGAAAACCAAGUUUCCCACUUCAUGCUAAAAAGUGGUAACAUUGCAUGUCAGACUGAAGAAAGACACCUGAGUCUAUGUUGAGUUGUGUUUGGCCCCUUGCAAGGUUGUCAUAAAUGAUUCAUUGUUUUGGCUUAAGGGGCUUUCAGCUGGAUGACAAAGCAUAAGGACAAAAAAUAUGAAAUUUGUCAUUAAAUGUCUUCAUCAUUUAGCCUGUUUAAUUGUGCUAAGAUCUUUUAAGAAACAAUGAAUACAGAGAUUUCCAGAUUAUACUUCCAUGAAAGCCUAAAUCUUCUCAGGUAUUCACAGUUUAAAAAAAUUGAAGUAUACCAAAUGAUAUCCAAGUUUACUGUGAAAGCAAAUGGCCCAUAAAAUUUUGCAUUUACAUUUGAAUUUUAAUCUAGAGAGAAGGAGACCACAUAAGUAAAACACAAUCUAUCUCAUAGGCUGAAGCGUCAGGUAUUACAAAUGUAUGUGGUUAGCUUCUCUUUAUUUAGUUCUCAUUGAUUUAGGUACUAAUUCUACCCAUUCUUUGCUUUAAUCAUUUAGUAUUAAGAAAUAUUGACUUUCAUCAGAGCUUAAUAUACAACUGGCUCCAAAUCUAGAAAAUCAAUUUAAAUUCUUUAUAGUAGUAUGUAAUUGGUUAAUUCAGUCAUUUUUAAAACAAUAUAUUUGUUUAAAAAUAUUUAUUUUGCUAACCAGCUACCAGACAUUGUUCUAGGUAAUUCUUACAGAAGUGCGUAAGACAGAUAGUGUGGCUUCCCACAUAGGGCAUAUAGAUUACAAAGAGAAGACAUAGCUAAAGAAUUAAACCAAUAAUAAAAACAUCAAAUUCUCUGAAAAAAAGAGCUGCUGCCAGUAUCAGUGAAUACUUCUUUCAUGUAACACAAACUGACACUUAAAGAAAAAAAAAAAAACACUCAGCCAUGCAAAGA